RNAcentral lists this long non-coding RNA (346 nucleotides) under Phaseolus vulgaris (common bean). Its description in RNAcentral is "long non-coding RNA (PVUL_LNC000418)". Lineage: Eukaryota; Viridiplantae; Streptophyta; Magnoliopsida; Fabales; Fabaceae. The record is from RNAcentral.
GCAUAGUCCAAAAAUUCUAAAGAAGCUAACUUAACCCUAUGCUCAUCCCUAACCCCAUUUACAUCAAAAAUUUGGUCCACCUUAGCCUCCCAUCCUAAGUAUACAUUGGGAUCACUUUCACCACUAAAACUAGGAAGUUUUACAUUAGGAGAACAAGGGCCAGCCACAUGUUGGCGCCUCUCUUCAUGGUGAUGAUGUCUUGGCCUUGGAUUAUCUUCAUAAUAACCAUGGGAGUGCCUUGAAGAAUGCCGACUAGGAGGAGGAGUUCUUCUCUCACGGUUUUGAUGCAUUUCUUCUCGGUUUAACUCCAAACUUUGGAGCCGUGCUUCCAUCUUCCUUAUCACCU